RNAcentral lists this ribosomal RNA (428 nucleotides) under Actinomycetes bacterium. Its description in RNAcentral is "Actinobacteria bacterium partial 16S ribosomal RNA". It matches the Rfam family "Bacterial small subunit ribosomal RNA", at positions 355 to 776 of the family's 1533-position model. The record is from RNAcentral. Lineage: Bacteria; Bacillati; Actinomycetota; Actinomycetes.
UAGGGAAUCUUCCGCAAUGGGCGAAAGCCUGACGGAGCAACGCCGCGGGAGUGAUGAAGGUCUUCGGAUCGUAAAACUCUGUUAUAGGGAAGAACAAAUGUGUAAGUAACUAUGCACGUCUUGACGGUACCUAAUCAGAAAGCCACGGCUAACUACGUGCCAGCAGCCGCGGUAAUACGAAGGUGGCAAGCGUUAUCCGGAAUUAUUGGGCGUAAAGCGCGCGUAGGCGGUUUUUUAAGUCUGAUGUGAAAGCCCACGGCUCAACCGUGGGGGGUCAUUGGAAACUGGAAAACUUGAGUGCAGAAGAGGAAAGUGGAAUUCCAUGUGUAGCGGUGAAAUGCGCAGGGAUAUGGAGGAACACCAGUGGCGAAGGCGACUUUCUGGUCUGUAACUGACGCUGGUGUGCGAAAGCGGGGGGAUCAAACAGG